GACGAACGCUGGCGGCGUGCUUAACACAUGCAAGUCGAACGGUGAACUCCGCUUGCGGGGGGAUCAGUGGCGAACGGGUGAGUAACACGUGGGCAACCUGCCCUCAGCUCUGGGAUAACUCCAAGAAAUUGGGGCUAAUACCGGAUAUGACCGCUGACCGCAUGGUCUGGUGGUGGAAAGAUUUAUCGGCUGGGGAUGGGCCCGCGGCCUAUCAGCUUGUUGGUGGGGUAGUGGCCUACCAAGGCGACGACGGGUAGCCGGCCUGAGAGGGUGACCGGCCACACUGGGACUGAGACACGGCCCAGACUCCUACGGGAGGCAGCAGUGGGGAAUAUUGCGCACUGGGCGAAAGCCUGACGCAGCGACGCCGCGUGGGGGAUGACGGCCUUCGGGUUGUAAACCCCUUUCAGCAGGGACGAAGCGAAAGUGACGGUACCUGCAGAAGAAGCACCGGCCAACUACGUG
RNAcentral lists this ribosomal RNA (465 nucleotides) under uncultured bacterium. Its description in RNAcentral is "partial 16S ribosomal RNA". It matches the Rfam family "Bacterial small subunit ribosomal RNA", at positions 28 to 507 of the family's 1533-position model. The record is from RNAcentral.